AGAUAGUAAGGUGGCGGACGGGUGAGUAACACGUAAAGACUUGCCCUGCAGUCUGGGACAACUACUGGAAACGGUAGCUAAUACCGGAUAUUGCCGCAUGGCGAAAGCUAUAUGCGCUGCAGGAGAGCUUUGCGUCCCAUUAGUUAGUUGGUGAGGUAACGGCUCACCAAGACCACGAUGGGUAGCCGGCCUGAGAGGGUGAACGGCCACAAGGGGACUGAGACACGGCCCUUACUCCUACGGGAGGCAGCAGUGGGGAAUAUCGGACAAUGGACCAAAGUCUGAUCCAGCAAUUCUGUGUGCACGAUGACGGUCUUAGGAUUGUAAAGUGCUUUCAAUCGGGAAAAAGAAAGUGAUGGUACCGAUAGAAGAAGCGACGGCUAAAUACGUGCCAGCAGCCGCGGUAAUACGUAUGUCGCAAGCGUUAUCCGGAUUUAUUGGGCGUAAAGCGCGUCUAGGCGGUUUGGUAAGUCUGAUGUGGAAAUGCGGGGCUCAACUCCGUAUUGCGUUGGAAACUGCCAGACUAGAGUACUGGAGAGGUGGGCGGAACUACAAGUGUAGAGGUGA
RNAcentral lists this ribosomal RNA (567 nucleotides) under uncultured bacterium. Its description in RNAcentral is "bacterial SSU rRNA". It matches the Rfam family "Bacterial small subunit ribosomal RNA", at positions 85 to 684 of the family's 1533-position model. The record is from RNAcentral.